RNAcentral lists this ribosomal RNA (446 nucleotides) under Thelotornis kirtlandii. RNAcentral describes it as "partial 16S ribosomal RNA". It matches the Rfam family "Bacterial large subunit ribosomal RNA", at positions 1905 to 2579 of the family's 2925-position model. The record is from RNAcentral. Lineage: Eukaryota; Metazoa; Chordata; Lepidosauria; Squamata; Colubridae.
CGCCUGGGUGAACAAUUAAACGGCCGCGGUAUCCUAACCGUGCAAAGGUAGCAUAAUCAUUUGUCUACUAAUUAUAGACCAGUAUGAAAGGCAAAAUGAGGAUCUAACUGUCUCUUAUAUUAAAUCAAUUAAACUGAUCUCCUAGUAAAAAAGCUAGAAUUCCACCAUAAGACCAGAAGACCCUGUGAAGCUUAAAUUAAACUAUUAAACCCAAUAAUAACUAAUUUCGGUUGGGGUGACCUUGGAAAAAAAAAGAACUUCCACACAUAAUUUAAUUUGAAAGGCUGACAAGCCAAAAACGACCCAGCAUGACUGACAAUUGAACCAAGUUACUCCAGGGAUAACAGCGCAAUCCUCUUCAAGAGCCCAUAUCAAAAAGAGGGUUUACGACCUCGAUGUUGGAUCAGGACAUCCUAAUGGUGCAACCGCUAUUAAGGGUUCGUUUG